RNAcentral lists this ribosomal RNA (365 nucleotides) under uncultured bacterium. RNAcentral describes it as "bacterial SSU rRNA". It matches the Rfam family "Bacterial small subunit ribosomal RNA", at positions 29 to 419 of the family's 1533-position model. The record is from RNAcentral.
AACGAACGCUGGCGGCAGGCCUAACACAUGCAAGUCGAACGCUCGUAGCAAUACGAGAGUGGCAGACGGGUGAGUAACACGUGGGAACCUUCCCUAUGGUUCGGAAUAGCUCAGGGAAACUUGGGGUAAUACCGGAUAAGCCCUUCGGGGAAGGAUUUAUCGCCAUUGGAUGGGCCCGCGUCGGAUUAGCUAGUUGGUGAGGUAACGGCUCACCAAGGCAACGAUCCGUAGCUGGUCUGAGAGGAUGAUCAGCCACACUGGGACUGAGACACGGCCCAGACUCCUACGGGAGGCAGCAGGUGGGGAAUAUUGGACAAUGGGCGCAAGCCUGAUCCAGCCAUGCCGCGUGAGUGACGAAGGUCUUC